AGACUAAUCGAACCAUCU
RNAcentral lists this non-coding RNA (18 nucleotides) under Arabidopsis thaliana (thale cress). Lineage: Eukaryota; Viridiplantae; Streptophyta; Magnoliopsida; Brassicales; Brassicaceae. RNAcentral also lists the same sequence under 1 other name. The record is from RNAcentral.